RNAcentral lists this transfer RNA (75 nucleotides) under Halichoeres nigrescens (bubblefin wrasse). RNAcentral describes it as "tRNA-Lys". It matches the Rfam family "tRNA". Rfam says of the family: Transfer RNA (tRNA) molecules are approximately 80 nucleotides in length. The record is from RNAcentral. Lineage: Eukaryota; Metazoa; Chordata; Actinopteri; Labriformes; Labridae.
CGUUAAGAAGCUAAGUUGGGACUAGCGUUAGCCUUUUAAGCUAAAGAAUGGUGGCUUCCUACCCACCCUUAGCGU